RNAcentral lists this ribosomal RNA (488 nucleotides) under uncultured bacterium. RNAcentral's name for it is "bacterial SSU rRNA". It matches the Rfam family "Bacterial small subunit ribosomal RNA", at positions 27 to 518 of the family's 1533-position model. The record is from RNAcentral.
GGACGAACGCUGGCGGCGUAGCUUAAAACAUGCAAGUCGAACGGAGUUUAUGAGUAGCUUGCUACGAGUAAACUAGUGGCGGACGGGUGAGUAACACGUGAGUAACCUGCCUAUCACAGGGGAAUAACACUUAGAAAUAGGUGCUAAUACCGCAUAUGACCACAGACCGGCGUCGGUCAGAGGUGAAAGGAGUUAAAUCUGGUGAUAGAGGGGCUUGCGUAUCAUUAGCUAGUUGGUGAGGGUAACGGCCCACCAAGGCCACGAUGAUUAGCCGAUCUGAGAGGAUGACCGGCCACAUUGGAACUGAGAUACGGUCCAGACUCCUACGGGAGGCAGCAGUUAGGAAUAUUGGGCAAUGGAGGAAACUCUGACCCAGCAACGCCGCGUGAAGGAUGAAGGUUUUCGGAUUGUAAACUUCUGAUCUGUGGAAAGAAGAAAAUGACGGUACCACAGGAGCAAGCCCCGGCUAACUACGUGCCAGCAGCAGC